AGAGUUUGAUCAUGGCUCAGAUUGAACGCUGGCGGCAGGCCUAACACAUGCAAGUCGGGCGGUAACAUUUCUAAGCUUGCUUGGAAGAUGACGAGCGGCGGACGGGUGAGUAAUGCUUGGGGAUCUGCCUUCGGGUGGGGGACAACAGUUGGAAACGACUGCUAAUACCGCAUAAUGUCUUUUCCGUAACAGGAAGGGACCAAAGCGGGGGCUCUUCGGACCUCGCGCCUGCAGAUGAACCCAAGUGAGAUUAGCUGGUUGGUGAGGUAACGGCUCACCAAGGCGACGAUCUCUAGCUGGUCUGAGAGGAUGAUCAGCCACACUGGAACUGAGACACGGUCCAGACUCCUACGGGAGGCAGCAGUGGGGAAUAUUGCACAAUGGGGGAAACCCUGAUGCAGCCAUGCCGCGUGUGUGAAGAAGGCCUUCGGGUUGUAAAGCACUUUCAGCGAGGAGGAAAGGGUGAUGCUUAAUAAGUGUCAUCUGUGACGUUACUCGCAGAAGAAGCACCGGCUAACUCCGUGCCAGCAGCCGCGGUAAUACGGAGGGUGCGAGCGUUAAUCGGAAUUACUGGGCGUAAAGCGCGCGUAGGCGGUUAGUUAAGCCAGAUGUGAAAGCCCCGGGCUCAACCUGGGAACUGCAUUUGGAACUGGCUGACUGGAGUUUUGUAGAGGGUGGUAGAAUUUCAGGUGUAGCGGUGAAAUGCGUAGAGAUCUGAAGGAAUACCAGUGGCGAAGGCGGCCACCUGGACAAAAACUGACGCUGAGGUGCGAAAGCGUGGGGAGCGAACAGGAUUAGAUACCCUGGUAGUCCACGCCGUAAACGAUGUCAACUAGCUGUCUGUGUCCUCGCGACGUGGGUAGCGCAGCUAACGCACUAAGUUGACCGCCUGGGGAGUACGGCCGCAAGGUUAAAACUCAAAUGAAUUGACGGGGGCCCGCACAAGCGGUGGAGCAUGUGGUUUAAUUCGAUGCAGCGCGAAGAACCUUACCAUCCCUUGACAUCCAGUGAACUUUCCAGAGAUGGAUUGGUGCCUUCGGGAACACUGAGACAGGUGCUGCAUGGCUGUCGUCAGCUCGUGUUGUGAAAUGUUGGGUUAAGUCCCGCAACGAGCGCAACCCUUGUCCCUAGUUGCCAGCGCGUAGAGGCGGGAACUCUAAGGAGACUGCCGGUGAUAAACCGGAGGAAGGUGGGGACGACGUCAAGUCAUCAUGGCCCUUACGGGAUGGGCUACACACGUGCUACAAUGGCAGGUACAAAGAGAAGCGAACUCGCGAGAGUAAGCGGAUCUCAUAAAGCCUGUCGUAGUCCGGAUCGGAGUCUGCAACUCGACUCCGUGAAGUCGGAAUCGCUAGUAAUCGUAGAUCAGAAUGCUACGGUGAAUACGUUCCCGGGCCUUGUACACACCGCCCGUCACACCAUGGGAGUGGGUUGCUCCAGAAGUGGUUAGCCUAACCUUCGGGAGGGCGAUCACCACGGAGUUAUUCAUGACUGGGGUGAAGUCGUAACAAGGUA
RNAcentral lists this ribosomal RNA (1515 nucleotides) under uncultured Gammaproteobacteria bacterium. RNAcentral's name for it is "bacterial SSU rRNA". It matches the Rfam family "Bacterial small subunit ribosomal RNA". The record is from RNAcentral. Lineage: Bacteria; Pseudomonadati; Pseudomonadota; Gammaproteobacteria.